This 493-nucleotide ribosomal RNA is filed under the name uncultured bacterium. RNAcentral describes it as "bacterial SSU rRNA". It matches the Rfam family "Bacterial small subunit ribosomal RNA", at positions 588 to 1084 of the family's 1533-position model. The record is from RNAcentral.
UCAGUUGUGAAAGUUUGCGGCUCAACCGUAAAAUUGCAGUUGAUACUGGAUGUCUUGAGUGCAGUUGAGGCAGGCGGAAUUCGUGGUGUAGCGGUGAAAUGCUUAGAUAUCACGAAGAACUCCGAUUGCGAAGGCAGCCUGCUAAGCUGCAACUGACAUUGAGGCUCGAAAGUGUGGGUAUCAAACAGGAUUAGAUACCCUGGUAGUCCACACGGUAAACGAUGAAUACUCGCUGUUUGCGAUAUACGGCAAGCGGCCAAGCGAAAGCGUUAAGUAUUCCACCUGGGGAGUACGCCGGCAACGGUGAAACUCAAAGGAAUUGACGGGGGCCCGCACAAGCGGAGGAACAUGUGGUUUAAUUCGAUGAUACGCGAGGAACCUUACCCGGGCUUAAAUUGCACUCGAAUGAUCCGGAAACGGUUCAGCUAGCAAUAGCGAGUGUGAAGGCGCUGCAUGGUUGUCGUCAGCUCGUGCCGUGAGGUGUCGGCUUAAG